Molecule: ribosomal RNA, 292 nt
Filed under: uncultured bacterium
Lineage: Bacteria
Description: partial 16S ribosomal RNA
Rfam family: Bacterial small subunit ribosomal RNA
Source: RNAcentral
GUGUCAGCCGCCGCGGUAACACGGGGGGAGCAAGCGUUGUUCGGAAUCACUGGGCGUAAAGGGUGUCUAGGCGGUUAGGUAAGUGAGAUGUGAAAUGCCCCGGCUCACCCGGGGACCUGCAUCUCAUACUGCCUAGCUUGAGUACGGGAGAGGAUGAGGGAAUUCCUGGUGUAGCGGUGAAAUGCGUAGAUAUCAGGAGGAACACCGGUGGCGAAAGCGCUCAUCUGGCCCGAUACUGACGCUGAAGCACGAAAGCUAGGGGAGCAAACGGGAUUAGAAACCCCCGUAGUCC